GGUUAAGCGACUAAGCGUACACGGUGGAUGCCCUGGCAGUCAGAGGCGAUGAAGGACGUGCUAAUCUGCGAUAAGCGUCGGUAAGGUGAUAUGAACCGUUAUAACCGGCGAUUUCCGAAUGGGGAAACCCAGUGUGUUUCGACACACUAUCAUUAACUGAAUCCAUAGGUUAAUGAGGCGAACCGGGGGAACUGAAACAUCUAAGUACCCCGAGGAAAAGAAAUCAACCGAGAUUCCCCCAGUAGCGGCGAGCGAACGGGGAGCAGCCCAGAGCCUGAAUCAGUGUGUGUGUUAGUGGAAGCGUCUGGAAAGGCGCGCGAUACAGGGUGACAGCCCCGUACACAAAAAUGCACAUGCUGUGAGCUCGAUGAGUAGGGCGGGACACGUGGUAUCCUGUCUGAAUAUGGGGGGACCAUCCUCCAAGGCUAAAUACUCCUGACUGACCGAUAGUGAACCAGUACCGUGAGGGAAAGGCGAAAAGAACCCCGGCGAGGGGAGUGAAAAAGAACCUGAAACCGUGUACGUACAAGCAGUGGGAGCACGCUUAGGCGUGUGACUGCGUACCUUUUGUAUAAUGGGUCAGCGACUUAUAUUCUGUAGCAAGGUUAACCGAAUAGGGGAGCCGAAGGGAAACCGAGUCUUAACUGGGCGUUAAGUUGCAGGGUAUAGACCCGAAACCCGGUGAUCUAGCCAUGGGCAGGUUGAAGGUUGGGUAACACUAACUGGAGGACCGAACCGACUAAUGUUGAAAAAUUAGCGGAUGACUUGUGGCUGGGGGUGAAAGGCCAAUCAAACCGGGAGAUAGCUGGUUCUCCCCGAAAGCUAUUUAGGUAGCGCCUCGUGAAUUCAUCUCCGGGGGUAGAGCACUGUUUCGGCAAGGGGGUCAUCCCGACUUACCAACCCGAUGCAAACUGCGAAUACCGGAGAAUGUUAUCACGGGAGACACACGGCGGGUGCUAACGUCCGUCGUGAAGAGGGAAACAACCCAGACCGCCAGCUAAGGUCCCAAAGUCAUGGUUAAGUGGGAAACGAUGUGGGAAGGCCCAGACAGCCAGGAUGUUGGCUUAGAAGCAGCCAUCAUUUAAAGAAAGCGUAAUAGCUCACUGGUCGAGUCGGCCUGCGCGGAAGAUGUAACGGGGCUAAACCAUGCACCGAAGCUGCGGCAGCGACGCUUAUGCGUUGUUGGGUAGGGGAGCGUUCUGUAAGCCUGUGAAGGUGUGCUGUGAGGCAUGCUGGAGGUAUCAGAAGUGCGAAUGCUGACAUAAGUAACGAUAAAGCGGGUGAAAAGCCCGCUCGCCGGAAGACCAAGGGUUCCUGUCCAACGUUAAUCGGGGCAGGGUGAGUCGACCCCUAAGGCGAGGCCGAAAGGCGUAGUCGAUGGGAAACAGGUUAAUAUUCCUGUACUUGGUGUUACUGCGAAGGGGGGACGGAGAAGGCUAUGUUGGCCGGGCGACGGUUGUCCCGGUUUAAGCGUGUAGGCUGGUUUUCCAGGCAAAUCCGGAAAAUCAAGGCUGAGGCGUGAUGACGAGGCACUACGGUGCUGAAGCAACAAAUGCCCUGCUUCCAGGAAAAGCCUCUAAGCAUCAGGUAACAUCAAAUCGUACCCCAAACCGACACAGGUGGUCAGGUAGAGAAUACCAAGGCGCUUGAGAGAACUCGGGUGAAGGAACUAGGCAAAAUGGUGCCGUAACUUCGGGAGAAGGCACGCUGAUAUGUAGGUGAAGUCCCUCGCGGAUGGAGCUGAAAUCAGUCGAAGAUACCAGCUGGCUGCAACUGUUUAUUAAAAACACAGCACUGUGCAAACACGAAAGUGGACGUAUACGGUGUGACGCCUGCCCGGUGCCGGAAGGUUAAUUGAUGGGGUUAGCCGCAAGGCGAAGCUCUUGAUCGAAGCCCCGGUAAACGGCGGCCGUAACUAUAACGGUCCUAAGGUAGCGAAAUUCCUUGUCGGGUAAGUUCCGACCUGCACGAAUGGCGUAAUGAUGGCCAGGCUGUCUCCACCCGAGACUCAGUGAAAUUGAACUCGCUGUGAAGAUGCAGUGUACCCGCGGCAAGACGGAAAGACCCCGUGAACCUUUACUAUAGCUUGACACUGAACAUUGAGCCUUGAUGUGUAGGAUAGGUGGGAGGCUUAGAAGUGUGGACGCCAGUCUGCAUGGAGCCGACCUUGAAAUACCACCCUUUAAUGUUUGAUGUUCUAACGUUGACCCGUAAUCCGGGUUGCGGACAGUGUCUGGUGGGUAGUUUGACUGGGGCGGUCUCCUCCUAAAGAGUAACGGAGGAGCACGAAGGUUGGCUAAUCCUGGUCGGACAUCAGGAGGUUAGUGCAAUGGCAUAAGCCAGCUUGACUGCGAGCGUGACGGCGCGAGCAGGUGCGAAAGCAGGUCAUAGUGAUCCGGUGGUUCUGAAUGGAAGGGCCAUCGCUCAACGGAUAAAAGGUACUCCGGGGAUAACAGGCUGAUACCGCCCAAGAGUUCAUAUCGACGGCGGUGUUUGGCACCUCGAUGUCGGCUCAUCACAUCCUGGGGCUGAAGUAGGUCCCAAGGGUAUGGCUGUUCGCCAUUUAAAGUGGUACGCGAGCUGGGUUUAGAACGUCGUGAGACAGUUCGGUCCCUAUCUGCCGUGGGCGCUGGAGAACUGAGGGGGGCUGCUCCUAGUACGAGAGGACCGGAGUGGACGCAUCACUGGUGUUCGGGUUGUCAUGCCAAUGGCACUGCCCGGUAGCUAAAUGCGGAAGAGAUAAGUGCUGAAAGCAUCUAAGCACGAAACUUGCCCCGAGAUGAGUUCUCCCUGACUCC
Molecule: ribosomal RNA, 2798 nt
Filed under: Escherichia coli
Lineage: Bacteria; Pseudomonadati; Pseudomonadota; Gammaproteobacteria; Enterobacterales; Enterobacteriaceae
Description: partial 23S ribosomal RNA
Rfam family: Bacterial large subunit ribosomal RNA
Source: RNAcentral